CAACCUGAGCUCAGGCGUGACUACCCGCUGAACUUA
RNAcentral lists this ribosomal RNA (36 nucleotides) under Uncinaria sanguinis. RNAcentral describes it as "partial 28S ribosomal RNA". Lineage: Eukaryota; Metazoa; Nematoda; Chromadorea; Rhabditida; Ancylostomatidae. The record is from RNAcentral.